UGCCGCUUUGGCAGCAAUAUUCUAAAAUUGGAAUGAUUCAAAGAUUAGCAUGGCCUGGGUGCAAGGAUGGAUGACAUGCAAAUUGGUGAAGCAUUCCAUAUUUUU
This is a small nuclear RNA of Jaculus jaculus (lesser Egyptian jerboa), 105 nucleotides long. Lineage: Eukaryota; Metazoa; Chordata; Mammalia; Rodentia; Dipodidae. The record is from Ensembl.